This 368-nucleotide ribosomal RNA is filed under the name uncultured fungus. Its description in RNAcentral is "eukaryotic LSU rRNA". It matches the Rfam family "Eukaryotic large subunit ribosomal RNA", at positions 40 to 398 of the family's 3401-position model. The record is from RNAcentral. Lineage: Eukaryota; Fungi.
AUAUCAAUAAGCGGAGGAAAAGAAACUAACAAGGAUUCCCCUAGUAACUGCGAGUGAAGCGGGAAAAGCUCAAAUUUAAAAUCUGAGGGUCCCUGUGGCCUUCCGAGUUGUAAUCUAGAGAAGUGCUAUCCGCGCUGGACCGUGUACAAGUCUCCUGGAACGGAGCGUCAUAGAGGGUGAGAAUCCCGUCUUUGACACGGACUACCAGGGCUUAUGUGAUGUGCUCUCAAAGAGUCGAGUUGUUUGGGAAUGCAGCUCUAAAUGGGUGGUAAAUUCCAUCUAAAGCUAAAUAUUGGCGAGAGACCGAUAGCGAACAAGUACCGUGAGGGAAAGAUGAAAAGAACUUUGGAAAGAGAGUUAAACAGUAC